AUUUCUCUUCGUUUCUUUCUUUCUGUUUCUUUUUGUUUUCUUGGAGCAAAUUGGAUUGGAUUAGAUUGUGUAUUUGCGUGGCAUUUGUGAUUGUGUGGUUGUGAGCGUGAUGAUGUUCACGAUGUCACGUCCCCUUUUGCCCAGUUGCUGCUGCUGCUUCUUAUUCCUUCCUUUAAAGCUGCGUUUAGCAUCCAUCGGUCUCAUCUUUUUCGCUUUUUGAUUUUUUCCUCUCUUUUGAUUUGAUCAGCUUGUGGUGAUGGUGACAGUCUUCACUUGAGCUGCAGCUCAGCUCAGCUCGGUUCUUGGCCACUCUCGCUUUGCUUUGCUGACGACGUGUUGCUGACCGUGGUCGUGUCUGCUUGUUGCUUUGCUUUGCUGUUCUUGGUUGGCGAGAGAAGCGGAUCUUGCGGCGGCGGCGUGGCGGCGGCUGCAAUGCGGAGGCGCGGCGGCGAGGUAGAGGACGGCGGCGUGGUGGUGGUGAGGCUGGACAGGAUCCGGAAGCGGGGGGCGCUGUCGUCGUCGGGCGCGUCGAGCGCGGCGAGGGCGAAGCUCAGGUCAAGGAGCCCGGCGGUGCUGCUGCGGCGGGGUGGCGCGGGAGGGG
RNAcentral lists this long non-coding RNA (601 nucleotides) under Oryza brachyantha (malo sina). Its description in RNAcentral is "long non-coding RNA (OBRA_LNC001131)". The record is from RNAcentral. Lineage: Eukaryota; Viridiplantae; Streptophyta; Magnoliopsida; Poales; Poaceae.